This 65-nucleotide transfer RNA is filed under the name Ruptitermes arboreus. Its description in RNAcentral is "tRNA-Thr". It matches the Rfam family "tRNA". From Rfam's summary of the family: Transfer RNA (tRNA) molecules are approximately 80 nucleotides in length. Their secondary structure includes four short double-helical elements and three loops (D, anti-codon, and T loops). Further hydrogen bonds mediate the characteristic L-shaped molecular structure. tRNAs have two regions of fundamental functional importance: the anti-codon, which is responsible for specific mRNA codon recognition, and the 3' end, to which the tRNAs corresponding amino acid is attached (by aminoacyl-tRNA synthetases). tRNAs cope with the degeneracy of the genetic code in two manners: having more than one tRNA (with a specific anti-codon) for a particular amino acid; and 'wobble' base-pairing, i.e. permitting non-standard base-pairing at the 3rd anti-codon position. Lineage: Eukaryota; Metazoa; Arthropoda; Insecta; Blattodea; Termitidae. The record is from RNAcentral.
GUUUUAAUAAUUUAAAUAAAAUAUUGGUCUUGUAAACCAAAAAUAAGGAACAACCUUUUAAAACU